CAGCAGCCGCCGCGGUAAUACAGAGGGUGUGAGCGUUAAUCGGAUUUACUGGGCGUAAAGCGUGCGUAGGCGGCUUCUUAAGUCGGAUGUGAAAUCCCUGAGCUUAACUUAGGAAUUGCAUUCGAUACUGGGAAGCUAGAGUAUGGGAGAGGAUGGUAGAAUUCCAGGUGUAGCGGUGAAAUGCGUAGAGAUCUGGAGGAAUACCGAUGGCGAAGGCAGCCAUCUGGCCUAAUACUGACGCUGAGGUACGAAAGCAUGGGGAGCAAACAGGAUUAGAUACCCCUGUAGUCCCUGUCUCUUAUAC
This 304-nucleotide ribosomal RNA is filed under the name uncultured bacterium. RNAcentral describes it as "partial 16S ribosomal RNA". It matches the Rfam family "Bacterial small subunit ribosomal RNA", at positions 506 to 807 of the family's 1533-position model. The record is from RNAcentral.